UUAAUUACUUAUAUUUUCUUUGUACUUUUAACCCAAUGGGGUUGAGGAUACAUUCCUCUUUUCCUGCGUACGCCGCUGCAUGUGAGUAAUGCACGGGCUCGUAUAAUCGCGGGGACGGGCGAGAUAAUUCGGAAUCGGUUUACGAACACGGAUACUUGUGCGACGGUUGAUUUCGGUAUCGCGGUAGAAGAUAAAAAUUAUAUCCAAGAUUCAAUACGAAUUUAAGAUGCU
Non-coding RNA from Cinara cedri, 231 nucleotides. NCBI's taxonomy places the organism in Eukaryota, Metazoa, Arthropoda, Insecta, Hemiptera, Aphididae. The record is from the annotation of a GenBank genome assembly.